AUAGCUCAGCGGUAGAGUGCGUGUCUAGCAUGCACAAGGUCCCGGGUUCUAUCCCCGGU
This 59-nucleotide transfer RNA is filed under the name Camelus bactrianus (Bactrian camel). It matches the Rfam family "tRNA", at positions 7 to 64 of the family's 71-position model. From Rfam's summary of the family: Transfer RNA (tRNA) molecules are approximately 80 nucleotides in length. Their secondary structure includes four short double-helical elements and three loops (D, anti-codon, and T loops). Further hydrogen bonds mediate the characteristic L-shaped molecular structure. tRNAs have two regions of fundamental functional importance: the anti-codon, which is responsible for specific mRNA codon recognition, and the 3' end, to which the tRNAs corresponding amino acid is attached (by aminoacyl-tRNA synthetases). tRNAs cope with the degeneracy of the genetic code in two manners: having more than one tRNA (with a specific anti-codon) for a particular amino acid; and 'wobble' base-pairing, i.e. permitting non-standard base-pairing at the 3rd anti-codon position. Lineage: Eukaryota; Metazoa; Chordata; Mammalia; Artiodactyla; Camelidae. RNAcentral also lists the same sequence under 2 other names. The record is from Rfam by way of RNAcentral.